Molecule: ribosomal RNA, 253 nt
Filed under: uncultured bacterium
Lineage: Bacteria
Description: partial 16S ribosomal RNA
Rfam family: Bacterial small subunit ribosomal RNA
Source: RNAcentral
UACGGGGGUGGCGAGCGUUACUCGGAUUUAUUGGGUGUAAAGGGCAGGUAGGUGUCCUUACAAGUCAGAAGUGAAAUCCUGCAGCUUAACUGCAGAACUGCUUUUGAAACUGUAGGGAUUGAGGAUAGAAGAGGAGAGCGGAAUUCCCGGUGUAAGAGUGAAAUCUGUAGAUAUCGGGAGGAACACCAGUGGCGAAGGCGGCUCUCUGGUCUAUCCCUGACGCUGAACUGCGAAAGCUUGGGUAGCAAACAGG